Long non-coding RNA from Lycium barbarum (goji berry), 561 nucleotides. RefSeq lists it as uncharacterized. The record is from RefSeq and is a predicted model, not a curated record. Lineage: Eukaryota; Viridiplantae; Streptophyta; Magnoliopsida; Solanales; Solanaceae. The transcript is spliced from 3 exons.
CUCUCUCUAACCCUAAUAAUUAACAAGCUGCCAGUCACGGUCGUCAUCUGCCAUUGACGGUCGCCGCCAUCUGCCAUUGACGGUUGUUGCCAUCCCUAUCUUUGUGCAGAAAACUCAAACACACACACACACACACAAAAUGGAGAUGGAGAUGACACAAGAAGAAUCGUCAUAUGAGUUGGAUGUUGGUAAUCUAAUGGCUUCAUACCCACAUCACAACUUUAUAUCUCCACCUUCUUCCAGGGGAAUGUCCAGAGGAUGCAUUGAUGCAUUCUGGGAUGAAAAUUGUGAUUGAAGAUUGCCCUUUGCAGCAGACAUCCUUCUCAUAUGGUCUAAUCAGUUCUUGAUGCGCCACUCAAACUUAAUUACAUGCAUAACCAUUCCGAAGGAGCUUUGAAGGGUUACCUUACAGAAGACAUGGAUUACAACGACCCGGAAGAAGGCUUUCCAUUGGUUGAUAUCAACCAUAAAGACGAGUUCCACUUUCUUGAAGAGGGCUAUGAACGUAACUCAUGGGACCUUGUCAAAUGUAGCAUGUAUCUUGCUCCCAUAUGGUUUGCA